Molecule: ribosomal RNA, 801 nt
Filed under: uncultured bacterium
Lineage: Bacteria
Description: bacterial SSU rRNA
Rfam family: Bacterial small subunit ribosomal RNA
Source: RNAcentral
AGAGUUUGAUCCUGGCUCAGGAUGAACGCUAGCGGCAGGCUUAAUACAUGCAAGUCGUGGGGCAGCAGCUCUGUAGCAAUACAGAGGCUGGCGACCGGCAAACGGGUGCGGAACACGUACGCAACUUACCCAUAACUGAUGAAUAGCCCUCCGAAAGGAGGAUUAAUACAUCGUAACAUAAUGAAAGGGCAUCCUUUUAUUAUUAUAGCUCCGGCGGUUUUGGAUGGGCGUGCGGCUGAUUAGGUAGUUGGCGGAGUAAUAGCCCACCAAGCCAACGAUCAGUAACUGGUGUGAGAGCACGACCAGUCACACGGGCACUGAGACACGGGCCCGACUCCUACGGGAGGCAGCAGUAAGGAAUAUUGGUCAAUGGACGCAAGUCUGAACCAGCCAUGCCGCGUGAAGGAUGAAGGUCCUCUGGAUUGUAAACUUCUUUUAUAUGGGACGAAACCCUUUUAUGCUUAAAAGACUGACGGUACCAUACGAAUAAGCACCGGCUAACUCCGUGCCAGCAGCCGCGGUAAUACAGAGGGUGCAAGCGUUAUCCGGAUUCACUGGGUUUACAAAGGUGCGUAUGUGGGUCUGGUAAGUCCGUGGUGAAAUCUCCAUGCUUAACCUGGAAACUGCCAUGGAUACUAUAGGUCUUGAGUACCGUGGANGUGAGCGGAAUAUGUCAUGUAGCGGUGAACUGCUCAGAUAUGACAUAAAACACCAAUUGCGAAAGCAGCUCACUACACGAAUAUUGACACUGAGGCUCCAAAAGCGUGCGGGAUCAAACANGAAUGAGAUAACACUGGUGAU